Molecule: ribosomal RNA, 497 nt
Filed under: uncultured bacterium
Lineage: Bacteria
Description: partial 16S ribosomal RNA
Rfam family: Bacterial small subunit ribosomal RNA
Source: RNAcentral
GAUGAACGCUGGCGGCGUGCCUAAUACAUGCAAGUCGAGCGAAGAGACUAGGAGCUUGCUCCUCUGACGUUAGCGGCAGACGGGUGUGUAACACAUGGAUAACAUCCAUAUAAGACGGGGAUAACUUCGAGAAACCGGAGCUAAUACCGGAAAAUAUAUUGAAGCGCAUUGUUCAAUAGUGAAAGACGGUUUUGCUGUCACUUAUAGAUUGAUCCGCGCCGCAUUAGCUAGUUGGUAAGGUAACGGCUUACCAAGGCGACGAUGCGUAGCCGACCUGAGAGGGUGGUCGGCCACGCCGGAACGGAGACACGGUCCAGACUACUACGGGAGGCAGCAGUAGGGUAUCGUCCGCAAGGGGCGAAAGCCUGACGGAGCAGCGCCGCGUGAGUUAUGAAGGUCCUCGGAUCGUAAAACUCUGUUAUGAGGGAAGAACAAAUGUGUAAGUAACUAUGCACGUCUUGACGGUACCUAAUCAGAAAGCCACGGCUAACUACGUG